AAUCAACACACCCCUUUUCAGCUACAGACCUGGAUACUUCCUUCUCCCUGUCAGUGCAGUCCAGGAUCACUUCCACCCUGGGCUCAAGGUUUCAUUUAUUCCACUGGAGGAUCUGCAUGUACACAAAACAUUAAUUCAAAAAAUUUUGUUUCAGGUCUGCCCACCUCUGAAGGACUGUUAGGAGCUCUGGUUGCCCAGAUUUGGCUGGCGUAAUGGCAGAGCUGUGUGGGAUCAGCACUGCAGACUUUGGCCUAGAGUGGUGCUCAUGCCAUGAAAGGUUGAUGUCUCAUCAUCUGGAUGCAUUAAGAUAAAGCCAAUAAAUUUUGCUGUUGAGUGUUGACUACAGUGGGAUCAGGCUGUUAAAAUAGUUGUCAGCAGCAGUGACCAUGAGUGGCAGUGUCUACGGCUAUUUGUACAGUUGUAAAAGAAUGCAGAAAGUCAUCCAUGAGAUCAUUUCUGAAAGUUUGCUUCUACCCUGAGUGGGAGAUUCCUUUAAUGCUACAGCAGGAUGCUCAAUUUGUGUUUUAUUGAGCUGACUAAUUAACUCAACCAGCUUGAAUGAAUAGGUCACUGGAAUGCUGACAGCUGAGGACCAUGGCUUACCUGCUGUGGUGUAGUUCUUGUUUCUGGAUAAGUAAAUAUAUCAUGAGUGGCCCCCCAUGUGAUAGCUGCAUUCUUAUUCUUUUACUUCAUGAUGUGAAUGGUAGAAGCAAACUUUCAGAAAUGAUCUCAUGGAUGGCAUACAGAGUAUGGGGAGCCCACAGAUGACUUUUGGCGUACCAAUGCAGAAUGCCGCUCAGAGCCAGAGGGGAGAACAUGACGGAACAGGGACAUUUCAGCCUUUCUGUGGGUGCUGCUCUGUCAGCAAGUACAGAGGAGGCAUGAAAAGAGCCUUAUCUUUGUCUUUUCAGACCCCUUGUAGGAGAGGUAAUAUUGAUGGCAGCAUUAGUUCAGUGCAAAGGUUAUAUCCUCUGCUCGAACUGAGGCUGGUCCCUUCACGGAGGGGCAAGGUUCUCUGGGUAAUGGGUAUACUCCUCCCUUUCUUAUUUCCACAGACUUUAUGUUGUAUAUCAGGGAGACAGUGGGAGCAUCUACACCAUCAUUAAUGCAGCAUAGUUACUGCACAUUAAGUUUAGUACUUGGUUAACCAGGUACUAAAUCAAUGUGCAGUAACUUGUGCUACUGUGCAAUAGCGCUGUCACAUGGGUUUUUAGUGACACUUAAUGCACAGUAGCUUAAUACUACUGCACAGUAUCAUAUAGCACAGGUUUUGCAUGGCAUGCUACUGCACAAUGUUAUUAGGUUGCUGUGCAGUUAGCAUCUUGAGUAGACAUGCCCAGCAAGACUUAAAGUAGCCCAAGUUGGAGAUCUACUCUUUCUGAAACUGCUUCAUUUGCAGCAAAGGUAGAUUUAGGAAAAUUCUUCCAGUUUUGUCCUAUCUUUAUUAUAAAUGAUACUGAAAUAUGUGUGUGUACACUGCACAUGGAACACAAUUACAAAACCUUCACAAAAUGACUUAAUAUUCUGACAAUAGAGGUGUGUUAGUCUGAAGUCAGGCAGAAAUGUGGGGCAGGGUGGGGCACCUUAGAGGGGCACCUGGUUAGGCUAGCCUAUAUUCUGCUAUUCUGAUAACAGCAAAUACUUUUAUACAGGCCUUUUCUCUGACAAAAUCAAAUGUUUUUUCAAAGAAAAAUAAAG
This is a long non-coding RNA of Alligator mississippiensis (American alligator), 1698 nucleotides long. RefSeq lists it as uncharacterized. NCBI's taxonomy places the organism in Eukaryota, Metazoa, Chordata, Crocodylia, Alligatoridae. The record is from RefSeq and is a predicted model, not a curated record. The transcript is spliced from 4 exons.